Molecule: ribosomal RNA, 210 nt
Filed under: Marmota monax (woodchuck)
Lineage: Eukaryota; Metazoa; Chordata; Mammalia; Rodentia; Sciuridae
Description: SSU_rRNA_microsporidia
Rfam family: Bacterial small subunit ribosomal RNA
Source: RNAcentral
AAACUCAGAGCAUAAGGCGGAUUUAGUAGUAAGUUAAGAAUAGAGAGCUUAGCUGAAUGGGGCAAUAAAGCACGCACACACCGCCCGUCACCCUAUUCAAAUAUACUUCUUAUAUAUUUAAUAAAAUAAAUUAUUAAUAGAAUUAUAAAUAUAUAAGAAGAGACAAGUCGUAACAAGGUAAACAUACUGGAAAGUGUGUUUGGAAUAACC